Molecule: ribosomal RNA, 1489 nt
Filed under: Pigmentiphaga sp.
Lineage: Bacteria; Pseudomonadati; Pseudomonadota; Betaproteobacteria; Burkholderiales; Alcaligenaceae
Description: bacterial SSU rRNA
Rfam family: Bacterial small subunit ribosomal RNA
Source: RNAcentral
AGAGUUUGAUCCUGGCUCAGAUUGAACGCUAGCGGCAUGCCUUACACAUGCAAGUCGAACGGCAGCGCGGACUUCGGUCUGGCGGCGAGUGGCGAACGGGUGAGUAAUGCAUCGGAACGUGCCCAGUAGCGGGGGAUAACUACGCGAAAGCGUAGCUAAUACCGCAUACGCCCUACGGGGGAAAGGGGGGGAUCGCAAGACCUCUCACUAUUGGAGCGGCCGAUGUCGGAUUAGCUAGUUGGUGGGGUAAAGGCCUACCAAGGCAACGAUCCGUAGCUGGUUUGAGAGGACGACCAGCCACACUGGGACUGAGACACGGCCCAGACUCCUACGGGAGGCAGCAGUGGGGAAUUUUGGACAAUGGGGGCAACCCUGAUCCAGCCAUGCCGCGUGUGCGAAGAAGGCCUUCGGGUUGUAAAGCACUUUUGGCAGGAAAGAAACGGCGCCGGAUAAUACCUGGCGUAACUGACGGUACCUGCAGAAUAAGCACCGGCUAACUACGUGCCAGCAGCCGCGGUAAUACGUAGGGUGCAAGCGUUAAUCGGAAUUACUGGGCGUAAAGCGUGCGCAGGCGGUUCGGAAAGAAAGAUGUGAAAUCCCAGGGCUCAACCUUGGAACUGCAUUUUUAACUCCCGAACUAGAGUGUGUCAGAGGGGGGUGGAAUUCCACGUGUAGCAGUGAAAUGCGUAGAUAUGUGGAGGAACACCGAUGGCGAAGGCAGCCCCCUGGGAUAACACUGACGCUCAUGCACGAAAGCGUGGGGAGCAAACAGGAUUAGAUACCCUGGUAGUCCACGCCCUAAACGAUGUCAACUAGCUGUUGGGUUCUUCGGAGCUUGGUAGCGCAGCUAACGCGUGAAGUUGACCGCCUGGGGAGUACGGUCGCAAGAUUAAAACUCAAAGGAAUUGACGGGGACCCGCACAAGCGGUGGAUGAUGUGGAUUAAUUCGAUGCAACGCGAAAAACCUUACCUACCCUUGACAUGUCUGGAAUCCUGAAGAGAUUUAGGAGUGCUCGAAAGAGAACCGGAACACAGGUGCUGCAUGGCCGUCGUCAGCUCGUGUCGUGAGAUGUUGGGUUAAGUCCCGCAACGAGCGCAACCCUUGUCAUUAGUUGCUACGAAAGGGCACUCUAAUGAGACUGCCGGUGACAAACCGGAGGAAGGUGGGGAUGACGUCAGGUCCUCAUGGCCCUUAUGGGUAGGGCUUCACACGUCAUACAAUGGUCGGGACAGAGGGCAGCCAACCCGCGAGGGGGAGCCAAUCCCAGAAACCCGAUCGUAGUCCGGAUUGCAGUCUGCAACUCGACUGCAUGAAGUCGGAAUCGCUAGUAAUCGCGGAUCAGCAUGUCGCGGUGAAUACGUUCCCGGGUCUUGUACACACCGCCCGUCACACCAUGGGAGUGGGUUCUACCAGAAGUAGGUAGCCUAACCGUAAGGAGGGCGCUUACCACGGUAGGGUUCAUGACUGGGGUGAAGUCGUAACAAGGUA